AAUACAUUACUUCAUAUUAGUUUAAAUGUGAACAUAAAUGCACAAUAAUAGUGUGAUAGUAUUUCCGAUUUAUUUGAAAUCGCCAGUCUAGCUAUGUUUAAACUAGUUUGUUUAGUACUUGGAAUAUGUUUUAUUGCAAGUGUUUGCAAGUUCAAAGUGGAAAGUCUCGGAUGUGAUUGCCUUCCGCAAGGACAUUGCGGCUUUAAGCCAGACACAGAAACAGUUGGAAAUCACUUUUGUUUUGGCUGCCCUGGCAGUUUUGAAUGUUGUUGUCCCACGAACACUAUACCGAAGCAAUAAGUAAAAUGAAGAAACUAAAAAGAAGAAUACGACAGGGAGAACUCCUUAGUAAAAAAAUCGAUAAAUUGAAAAUAAUUGUAUGCUAUUUUAAAAUAAUAUGAAAUCUGA
Molecule: long non-coding RNA, 408 nt
Organism: Ruditapes philippinarum (Manila clam)
Lineage: Eukaryota; Metazoa; Mollusca; Bivalvia; Venerida; Veneridae
Exons: 3
Source: RefSeq, a predicted model, not a curated record